AGCGAACGCUGGCGGCAGGCCUAACACAUGCAAGUCGAACGAACCUUUCGGGGUUAGUGGCGGACGGGUGAGUAACACGUGGGAACGUGCCUUUAGGUUCGGAAUAACUCAGGGAAACUUGUGCUAAUACCGAAUGUGCCCUUCGGGGGAAAGAUUUAUCGCCUUUAGAGCGGCCCGCGUCUGAUUAGCUAAUUGGUUGAGGUAAUGGCUCACCAAGGCGACGAUCAGUAGCUGGUCUGAGAGGAUGAUCAGCCACAUUGGGACUGAGACACGGCCCAAACUCCUACGGGAGGCAGCAGUGGGGAAUCUUGCGCAAUGGGCGAAAGCCUGACGCAGCCAUGCCGCGUGAAUGAUGAAGGUCUUAGGAUUGUAAAAUUCUUUCACCGGGGACGAUAAUGACGGUACCCGGAGAAGAAGCCCCGGCUAACUUCGUG
RNAcentral lists this ribosomal RNA (434 nucleotides) under uncultured bacterium. RNAcentral describes it as "partial 16S ribosomal RNA". It matches the Rfam family "Bacterial small subunit ribosomal RNA", at positions 29 to 507 of the family's 1533-position model. The record is from RNAcentral.